Non-coding RNA from Electrophorus electricus (electric eel), 1452 nucleotides. Lineage: Eukaryota; Metazoa; Chordata; Actinopteri; Gymnotiformes; Gymnotidae. The record is from RefSeq and is a predicted model, not a curated record.
GGGUCUUGCUCAGGGGCCCAACAGUAGCAAGCUGGCAGUGAUGUGACCUGAACCAGCAACCUUCUGAUUACUAGUCAGAUACCACUACCACUGCCUGUGAUCUGUAUAUCAUGUUAUAUCUUGUGUGUGUGUUUUCAUGUGUGUUCUCUCACAGAACAUAAGUUAGAAGGUUGGAGGAGCAGAAGGCACCAAACUUGAUUACUUCAAACAAAUGAAGAAGGUGAAUAAUGUCUGUAUAUCCAGAAAUGGAGAAGAAAGUGGACACCACAAGCAGAGCAGUGCUGGACAUUAUGACCAAAACUACAGAAUACCUACCACCCAACCCAGCCUCCAGAGCGAAGCUCAGUAUGAUAAACACGAUGUCUAAGAUCCAUGGGCAGGAGAAGGGGCCAGGAUACCCUCAGACUGAGAGUUUGCUGGGAGACACCGUGCAGAGAUACGGACGGGACCUUGGAGAGGAGGCCAGCUUUGGUCCGUGGCCGUUCUCAGUGAGUGUAUGAGGAACAAGGUUGUGGUGAAGUUCUUGCGUGAGCAUCAGGAGAGUCUGAGCCACUCCCUCCCUCUGAGCUCCUGUCUGCUGUAACCAUCUUCCAGGUCCUUCCCAUCCUUUCUUGCCAACCUCAGCCAACUGCUGAGCCAUUUCUUCUCCAAAUGCUUUGAGCUCUUGUUGCACUUUCUCUCUGUCUUGCUGACUACACACAUCAUCUUGUUCCCUCUGCACCUUCUGAUUCUUUCUGCAGAACAUCCUGUUUCCUUUCCAGUUUUUCUUCCAUUCUUCUCAUUUCCCGUCGUACGUCGUCUUGUAUCUGUGUUGCUUGUUCUUCUGCUAUUGUUCUUCUAUUCUUACUUCUAAUUACUUCUAUUCUUAGUACUCGACUGUAGUUCGUGUCUCCAUUUGUCCUUCCUGUAUGGAGUGUUUGGAUGAAAUUCUGCUUCUGGACUUAUGUGAGUUCCCUCUAGAAAUGGAGUUGCCCUGUUAUUUGUUGAAUGAAGGGGUUCCACUGGGCUUAGGAGGGCUGGGUUUAAUUGAGAUGUCCCACUCCUAGAUGGAUAGCCUGGUGUCCUCAGUUCUUCUGUUGGGUGUCUGGCUUUCAUCAGGUGAUUUUAUUCUCGUGGUACCCCUCAUUUUCACUUCUGCUUCCACCCAUUCUCUUGUUGCUAAUACUGGGUAUGUUCUUGCUGUUUUCUUCUGGUUUGGGACGGAGGGUGGUGGUUUCUCUUUUACUGUUUGAGGUUGCUCACAGCACAUCUCUGCUUCAUUUUUCUUUUUGUAUUCCAGUUAUUUUUCUUUAACUUAUCUUGCGUGUUUUUCAAAUGCUCGUAAUAUUACCAGUUCCCAUUGUUGUUUGAUCUCUUGAGUUUUCUUUGUGCUCUUCACCUGCUCUAUAAGUCCCGUAGCCAUUUGGCAGGUUUCUUCAUCAAAGGAUCCUCUCACAGGCCAAUGUGUGUCCU